This 707-nucleotide ribosomal RNA is filed under the name uncultured Pseudomonadota bacterium. RNAcentral describes it as "bacterial SSU rRNA". It matches the Rfam family "Bacterial small subunit ribosomal RNA", at positions 51 to 746 of the family's 1533-position model. Lineage: Bacteria; Pseudomonadati; Pseudomonadota. The record is from RNAcentral.
ACACAUGCAAGUCGAAUGGUAACAGGAAACAGCUUGCUGUUUCGCUGACGAGUGGCGGACGGGUGAGUAAUGUCUGGGAAACUGCCUGAUGGAGGGGGAUAACUACUGGAAACGGUAGCUAAUACCGCAUAACGUCGCAAGACCAAAGAGGGGGACCUUCGGGCCUCUUGCCAUCAGAUGUGCCCAGAUGGGAUUAGCUAGUAGGUGGGGUAACGGCUCACCUAGGCGACGAUCCCUAGCUGGUCUGAGAGGAUGACCAGCCACACUGGAACUGAGACACGGUCCAGACUCCUACGGGAGGCAGCAGUGGGGAAUAUUGCACAAUGGGCGCAAGCCUGAUGCAGCCAUGCCGCGUGUAUGAAGAAGGCCUUCGGGUUGUAAAGUACUUUCAGCGGGGAGGAAGGGAGUAAAGUUAAUACCUUUGCUCAUUGACGUUACCCGCAGAAGAAGCACCGGCUAACUCCGUGCCAGCAGCCGCGGUAAUACGGAGGGUGCAAGCGUUAAUCGGAAUUACUGGGCGUAAAGCGCACGCAGGCGGUUUGUUAAGUCAGAUGUGAAAUCCCCGGGCCCAACCUGGGAACUGCAUCUGAUACUGGCAAGCUUGAGUCUCGUAGAGGGGGGUAGAAUUCCCAGGUGUAGCGGUGAAAUGCGUAGAGAUCUGGAGGAAUACCGGUGGCGAAGGCGGCCCCCUGGACGAAGACUGACGC